This 537-nucleotide ribosomal RNA is filed under the name Microhyla taraiensis. RNAcentral's name for it is "partial 16S ribosomal RNA". It matches the Rfam family "Bacterial large subunit ribosomal RNA", at positions 1805 to 2571 of the family's 2925-position model. The record is from RNAcentral. Lineage: Eukaryota; Metazoa; Chordata; Amphibia; Anura; Microhylidae.
UUCCAAAAACAUCGCCUUCUGAUAAACAUAGAAGGUCCAGCCUGCCCAGUGACUAAGUUAAACGGCCGCGGUACCCUAACCGUGCAAAGGUAGCGCAAUCACUUGUUCUUUAAAUGAGGACUAGUAUGAACGGCAUCACGAGGGUUAUACUGUCUCCCUAUUCCACUCAGUGAAACUGAUCUUCCCGUGAAGAAGCGGGAAUGAAUAUAUAAGACGAGAAGACCCCAUGGAGCUUUAAACUCAGUAUCAUCUGCCCCCACAAGAUCAUUUCAACUACGCAGAUAUGACAACUAGUUUUCGGUUGGGGUGACCGCGGAGUAAAACAAAACCUCCACAACGAAAGGAACUAACAACCUAAUCCAAGAGUAACAUCUCUAAGAAUCAACAAAUUGACUCAAUUGAUCCAAUUACUUGAUCAACGAACCAAGUUACCCUGGGGAUAACAGCGCAAUCCAUUUUAAGAGCCCAUAUCGACAAAUGGGUUUACGACCUCGAUGUUGGAUCAGGGUAUCCAAGUGGCGCAGCAGCUACUAACGG